GAUGAACUCUGGCGGCGUGCCUAAUACAUGCAAGUAGAACGCUGAAGGAGGAGCUUGCUCUUCUGGAUGAGUUGCGAACGGGUGAGUAACGCGUAGGUAACCUGCCUGGUAGCGGGGGAUAACUAUUGGAAACGAUAGCUAAUACCGCAUGACAACAGUUAUUGCAUGAUAACUGUUUAAAAGGGGCAACUGCUCCACUACCAGAUGGACCUGCGUUGUAUUAGCUAGUUGGUGAGGUAACGGCUCACCAAGGCGACGAUACAUAGCCGACCUGAGAGGGUGAUCGGCCACACUGGGACUGAGACACGGCCCAGACUCCUACGGGAGGCAGCAGUAGGGAAUCUUCGGCAAUGGACGGAAGUCUGACCGAGCAACGCCGCGUGAGUGAAGAAGGUUUUCGGAUCGUAAAGCUCUGUUGUAAGAGAAGAACGAGUGUGAGAGUGGAAAGUUCACACUGUGACGGUAUCUUACCAGAAAGAGACGGCUAACUACGUG
RNAcentral lists this ribosomal RNA (495 nucleotides) under uncultured bacterium. Its description in RNAcentral is "partial 16S ribosomal RNA". It matches the Rfam family "Bacterial small subunit ribosomal RNA", at positions 28 to 507 of the family's 1533-position model. The record is from RNAcentral.